AGUGAACGCUGGCGGCAGGCCUAACACAUGCAAGUCGAACGGCAGCACAGGGGUAGCAAUACCCUGGGUGGCGAGUGGCGGACGGGUGAGGAAUACGUCGGAAUCUGCCUAUUUGUGGGGGAUAACGUAGGGAAACUUACGCUAAUACCGCAUACGCCUACGGGGAAAGCGGAGGACCUUCGGCUUCGCGCAGAUAGAUGAGCCGACGUCGGAUUAGCUAGUUGGCGGGGUAAAGGACCCGACCAACGGCGACGAUCCGUAGCUGGUCUGAGAGGAUGAUCAGCCACACUGGAACUGAGACACGGUCCAGACUCCUACGGGAGGC
Molecule: ribosomal RNA, 325 nt
Filed under: uncultured bacterium
Lineage: Bacteria
Description: bacterial SSU rRNA
Rfam family: Bacterial small subunit ribosomal RNA
Source: RNAcentral